RNAcentral lists this ribosomal RNA (205 nucleotides) under uncultured bacterium. Its description in RNAcentral is "partial 16S ribosomal RNA". It matches the Rfam family "Bacterial small subunit ribosomal RNA", at positions 317 to 540 of the family's 1533-position model. The record is from RNAcentral.
GACUGAGACACGGCCCAACUCCUACGGGAGGCAGCAGUGGGGAAUAUUGCACAAUGGGGGAAACCCUGAUGCAGCGACGCCGCGUGAAGGAAGAAGUAUUUCGGUAUGUAAACUUCUAUCAGCAAGGAAGAAAAUGACGGUACUUGACUAAGAAGCCCCGGCUAAAUACGUGCCAGCAGCCGUGGUAAUACGUAUGGGGCAAGCG